UUCCGGUUGAUCCCGCCGGAGGUUACUGCUAUCGAGGUUCGACUAAGCCAUGCGAGUCGAAUGUAGCAAUACAUGGCGAACUGCUCAGUAACACGUGGACAACCUGCCCUUAGGACGGGGAUAAACCCGGGAAACUGGGUAUAAUACCCGAUAGGUCUCGAUUGCUGGAAUGCAUCGAGAUUUAAAGCUCCGGCGCCUAAGGAUGGGUCUGCGGCCUAUCAGGUAGUAGUGGGUGUAGCGUACCUACUAGCCUACGACGGGUACGGGUUGUGAGAGCAAGAGCCCGGAGAUGGAUUCUGAGACACGAAUCCAGGCCCUACGGGGUGCAGCAGGCGCGAAAACUUUACAAUGCUGGCAACAGCGAUAAGGGAACCUCGAGUGCCAGGUUACAAAUCUGGCUGUCGAGAUGCCUAAAAAGCAUUUCAUAGCAAGGGCCGGGCAAGACCGGUGCCAGCCGCCGCGGUAACACCGGCGGCUCGAGUGGUAACCGUUAUUAUUGGGUCUAAAGGGUCUGUAGCCGGCCGGAUAAGUCUCUUGAGAAACCUGGCAGCUUAACUGUCAGGCUUUCAGGAGAUACUGUCUGGCUCGAGGCCGGGAGAGGUGAGAGGUACUUCAGGGGUAGGGGUGAAAUCUUGUAAUCCUUGAAGGACCACCAGUGGCGAAGGCGUCUCACCAGAACGGACCUGACGGCAAGGGACGAAAGCUAGGGGCACGAACCGGAUUAGAUACCCGGGUAGUCCUAGCCGUAAACGAUACUCGCUAGGUGUCGGCCACGGUGCGACCGUUGUCGGUGCCGUAGGGAAGCCGUGAAGCGAGCCACCUGGGAAGUACGGCCGCAAGGCUGAAACUUAAAGGAAUUGGCGGGGGAGCACCACAACGGGUGGAGCUUGCGGUUUAAUUGGAUUCAACGCCGGG
This 915-nucleotide ribosomal RNA is filed under the name uncultured Methanosaeta sp. RNAcentral describes it as "bacterial SSU rRNA". It matches the Rfam family "Archaeal small subunit ribosomal RNA", at positions 1 to 922 of the family's 1478-position model. Lineage: Archaea; Methanobacteriati; Methanobacteriota; Methanomicrobia; Methanotrichales; Methanotrichaceae. The record is from RNAcentral.